RNAcentral lists this ribosomal RNA (29 nucleotides) under Metarhizium robertsii. RNAcentral's name for it is "partial 18S ribosomal RNA". The record is from RNAcentral. Lineage: Eukaryota; Fungi; Ascomycota; Sordariomycetes; Hypocreales; Clavicipitaceae.
CUCGUUGGUGACAGCGGAAGGAUCAUUCC